CCUACGGGCGGCUGCAGUGGGGAAUAUUGCACAAUGGGCGCAAGCCUGAUGCAGCCAUGCCGCGUGUGUGAAGAAGGCCUUCGGGUUGUAAAGCACUUUCAGCGGGGAGGAAGGCGGUGAGGUUAAUAACCUCAUCGAUUGACGUUACCCGCAGAAGAAGCACCGGCUAACUCCGUGCCAGCAGCCGCGGUAAUACGGAGGGUGCAAGCGUUAAUCGGAAUUACUGGGCGUAAGGCGCACGCAGGCGGUCUGUCAAGUCGGAUGUGAAAUCCCCGGGCUCAACCUGGGAACUGCAUUCGAAACUGGCAGGCUAGAGUCUUGUAGAGGGGGGUAGAAUUCCAGGUGUAGCGGUGAAAUGCGUAGAGAUCUGGAGGAAUACCGGUGGCGAAGGCGGCCCCCUGGACAAAGACUGACGCUCAGGUGCGAAAGCGUGGGGAGCAAACAGGAUUAGAUACCCUUGUAGUC
Molecule: ribosomal RNA, 465 nt
Filed under: uncultured Klebsiella sp.
Lineage: Bacteria; Pseudomonadati; Pseudomonadota; Gammaproteobacteria; Enterobacterales; Enterobacteriaceae
Description: bacterial SSU rRNA
Rfam family: Bacterial small subunit ribosomal RNA
Source: RNAcentral